AAUGAUGAGGCUGCGCUACAGAAGUUGGGUUCAGAUUUUGAUGCUUGCGACUAUAAGGUGAUUGGGGCAUCUGAUGAACAAAUUGACGUGUUUAAUGAAGUUUGGUAUAGCCUACUACUGAAUACGGGAAAAGCUGCCAAAGUGAUCGAGGUCAUUGAGAGACGAGUUGAAACAAGGGAUGGUGUACCCUUUUUAUGGCGUUUACUGGUAUGUGUUUUGAAUCUCAAUUUCUUGUAUUUUUAGCAACAAAUAAGUGGGAAAUACUCCUAGUAAACUUUUUAGCAACAAAUAAAUUUUUAGCAACAAGCUUUUUCACUUUCUGCAUAUAUAAAACUUCAGAAGUAUUAGUAGGAGUAUGUCUUUGAUCUCUUAAUGCUUGAACUGAUGCUAUGGUAUUAGAAUUCCUGCUAGUAUGAUUCUCCCAUCACUUGCACAUACAGUAUGAU
Amaranthus tricolor (Joseph's coat) is the source of this 446-nucleotide long non-coding RNA. RefSeq lists it as uncharacterized. The record is from RefSeq and is a predicted model, not a curated record. NCBI's taxonomy places the organism in Eukaryota, Viridiplantae, Streptophyta, Magnoliopsida, Caryophyllales, Amaranthaceae. The transcript is spliced from 3 exons.